CGGCAGGGAGGGCCCGGGGAGCCAGCCCUUCCCCACACCUCAAACGGGCUCUACGGAGGGGGCCAGUAACCCCGGGGGGUGGUGGGGGAAGAGUCGGAGGGUAAGCCGCUUAGACCCCCGUUGAGGCCUCGACCCACGGGGCCGGCGGAGGGCCGUCGAGCCUCCGUAGGGAGGCCACGUGGCCCUAACCAGGUGAACCUGGCCAGGCCCGGGAGGGAGCAACCUAAGCCUGGACGUUCGGCGCUCGUGGAGACCCGGGGCUGAGGGGGGAGGGCGGGACUGCCCUCCGGCCGCCCCUGCUCCCUCGGGGGGCUGCCG
RNAcentral lists this signal recognition particle RNA (318 nucleotides) under Candidatus Bathyarchaeota archaeon. RNAcentral's name for it is "signal recognition particle sRNA". It matches the Rfam family "Archaeal signal recognition particle RNA". Lineage: Archaea; Thermoproteati; Candidatus Bathyarchaeota. The record is from RNAcentral.